GGUGUGAAUAUUGCACAAUGGGCGCAAGCCUGAUGCAGCCAUGCCGCGUGUGUGAAGAAGGCCUUAGGGUUGUAAAGCACUUUCAGCGAGGAGGAAGGCAUCAUACUUAAUACGUGUGGUGAUUGACGUUACUCGCAAAAAAAGCACCGGCUAACUCCGUGCCAGCAGCCGCGGUAAAUAAAAAAACA
RNAcentral lists this ribosomal RNA (188 nucleotides) under uncultured Rahnella sp. Its description in RNAcentral is "partial 16S ribosomal RNA". It matches the Rfam family "Bacterial small subunit ribosomal RNA", at positions 354 to 536 of the family's 1533-position model. Lineage: Bacteria; Pseudomonadati; Pseudomonadota; Gammaproteobacteria; Enterobacterales; Yersiniaceae. The record is from RNAcentral.